Molecule: ribosomal RNA, 256 nt
Filed under: uncultured bacterium
Lineage: Bacteria
Description: partial 16S ribosomal RNA
Rfam family: Bacterial small subunit ribosomal RNA
Source: RNAcentral
UACGGGGGGGGCAAGCGUUGUUCGGAAUUACUGGGCGUAAAGGGCUCGUAGGUGGCCAACUAAGUCAGACGUGAAAUCCCUCGGCUUAACCGGGGAACUGCGUCUGAUACUGGAUGGCUUGAGUUUGGGAGAGGGACGCGGAAUUCCAGGUGUAGCGGUGAAAUGCGUAGAUAUCUGGAGGAACACCGGUGGCGAAGGCGGCGUCCUGGACCAACACUGACACUGAUGAGCGAAAAGCCAGGGGGAGCAAAACGGG